GCUUGCACCUGAUUGAUUUUGGUCGCCAACGAGUGGCGGACGGGUGAGUAACACGUAGGUAACCUGCCCAGAAGCGGGGGACAACAUUUGGAAACAGAUGCUAAUACCGCAUAACAACGUUGUUCGCAUGAACAACGCUUAAAAGAUGGCUUCUCGCUAUCACUUCUGGAUGGACCUGCGGUGCAUUAGCUUGUUGGUGGGGUAAUGGCCUACCAAGGCGAUGAUGCAUAGCCGAGUUGAGAGACUGAUCGGCCACAAUGGGACUGAGACACGGCCCAUACUCCUACGGGAGGCAGCAGUAGGGAAUCUUCCACAAUGGGCGCAAGCCUGAUGGAGCAACACCGCGUGAGUGAAGAAGGGUUUCGGCUCGUAAAGCUCUGUUGUUAAAGAAGAACACGUAUGAGAGUAACUGUUCAUACGUUGACGGUAUUUAACCAGAAAGUCACGGCUAACUACGUGCCAGCAGCCGCGGUAAUACGUAGGUGGCAAGCGUUAUCCGGAUUUAUUGGGCGUAAAGAGAGUGCAGGCGGUUUUCUAAGUCUGAUGUGAAAGCCUUCGGCUUAACCGGAGAAGUGCAUCGGAAACUGGAUAACUUGAGUGCAGAAGAGGGUAGUGGAACUCCAUGUGUAGCGGUGGAAUGCGUAGAUAUAUGGAAGAACACCAGUGGCGAAGGCGGCUACCUGGUCUGCAACUGACGCUGAGACUCGAAAGCAUGGGUAGCGAACAGGAUUAGAUACCCUGGUAGUCCAUGCCGUAAACGAUGAGUGCUAGUGUUGGAGGGUUUCCGCCCUUCAGUGCCCGGAGCUAACGCAUUAAGCACUCCGCCU
This 827-nucleotide ribosomal RNA is filed under the name Limosilactobacillus fermentum. RNAcentral's name for it is "bacterial SSU rRNA". It matches the Rfam family "Bacterial small subunit ribosomal RNA", at positions 66 to 874 of the family's 1533-position model. The record is from RNAcentral. Lineage: Bacteria; Bacillati; Bacillota; Bacilli; Lactobacillales; Lactobacillaceae.